Molecule: long non-coding RNA, 3164 nt
Filed under: Triticum aestivum (bread wheat)
Lineage: Eukaryota; Viridiplantae; Streptophyta; Magnoliopsida; Poales; Poaceae
Description: long non-coding RNA (TAES_LNC027552)
Source: RNAcentral
AUUUACCAACUUUGUAAAAACACAAGGAUCUUUGACAGCACAGAGUUAUGCUGAGAGGGUGUUCGAGGCUAUCAUUCAGGAGUUUCAAUCUGGGAGAGCUGCAGGUGGGUUGUCUUUUUUUCACGAAUACGCAAAGCUUGCGUAUCAUUCAUUGAUAGGGAGAAGAGUUGUUGUACAUGAGAGUUAUGUAGUGGGCAUUAGGGCAAUGCGUACACAUCAGAUGGUGCAAAACCUAGCGCGAGCAUGUUGGAUAUUGGGUGAGCUCAGCCCCAUCCUAGCCUACGGCGCCUACGGUGUGAUGAUGGCUAGUCCCUUUGACCCCUGCCUUGGCCCAUGAGCGAGCCUCCUCUUGGACGUCCUGGAGAAGCUUGGUCGGAGAGGGUGCGGUGCCGUCAAAGAUGCAGGACUUGCGAUGCUUUCAUAUGGACCAGGCGAUCAGGAGAGUGAGCGAGGAGAUGCCUUUAUGAUGCGCCGCCGGAACGGCCAACGUGGUAGCGUGCCACCAGUCCAGAAAUUGGUCAGUAUGUGUGGGCGCGGGAGCCUGGGGUAGCACCAGCUGAAGGAGUCGUGCUACACCUAUCGCGAAAAUGGGCAUCCCACCAGCAGAUGGUCCAUGGACUCGCUAGCCUGGGUUGUCUUCUUUCUGAAUCAUGUUUUUGUUGAUUUCUCCUCGCUCGGAGUGUAUUAGAGGUCAUGAUCAGUACAGUUCCAGUUCUGUUUUCUCAAGAGCUGACCCUAUAAAUAGUCGCUCCAUGUUUCUUUGUGAUAAUCUAUAAAUUAUUCCCUCUAUUUCCAUAUAGUUCGGUGUUAGGCCCUUCGAGAUAACACUACUCCCCAUAUUAAAGAAGUCAAUGUGAGGAUAUCGUUGGAAAUUCAGUCACUAUUCCAGGAAGAAACUUUUGAAUAAUCGAGGAUGCAGUUCCAUAAAUGGUAUAAUUCCAAAUGAGAUUUUACGACAUUAAAUCCAUGGCGCCUAAUGAACAAGUGUAGAUAAAAAUAUAAGCAAAAAGAUAGUAUGCAUCACUAGUUUACUACUACCUCCGUCCGGGUUUAUUGGUCUCCAUUGUAUUUCGUGCCAAAUUUUGAUCAUAGAUUAAACUGACAAAAUGUUCACGCAUGUCACCAAACAUUAUAUUUUUGAAAACUAUGUUCAAAUACGAAUUCAAUGAGAUAUUUUUUCUUGACAUGCAUUAACAUUUUGUUAAUUAAAUCUUUAGUCAAAAUUUGGCACAAACUAUAAAGGGGACCUAUAAACCAGGACGGAGGUAGUACCUUUGUUGUUUUUCUUGAAGCAGAAAAUAAGAUCAUUUUAAAGAAAACGAUCAGAUGAGAUAAGAAGGGUCUUGCGAUGCAUGCAGCUCAUGCAAAUAGAGGUAGUUUAGUCUGUGAGGUAAGUUUACCUCACAAACUUAUUGUUUCUUUCGGCAGUGGUUCUAGUGUCCGAACAUUGCAUGCGCAGUAACUUAGUUUACAUGCGUGAGGAAAAAUUACCUCACCCGCCUUGUUUCUUACGGUAGCUCCAUAGUACGUUUCCUUCCUCCCUGUUGUAAUCUUACCUCGGGUGCUUCAUUUGUUAUGUUUUGAAAUGUUCGGUCGUAGGGUGGCUCGGGUGAGGAAUAGAAUUCCUCACCCAGGUGACAAAUAGUCAAUAUAUAUAUUAUAUAUAUAUAUAUAUAUAGGAAAAUGGGUUGGUACUCUUAGGAGUACAUACGCCUUACUACGUGUAGGUGGCUGGUUUCACUGGCGCAUAGGAAUCUUAGCGCUCAAAGCCAUUUAGCUUUUAGUUAAAGAAAUAAUGAGUGAAAAAAUCCAUCUAAAACAAACAGAGAUCAUUGGUCCGAUUUUUUAGGCGCUUUUAUAUGCGUUGCGCUUAUCCAUCUCCCCUCCCAUCUCAUUAGUGUUAUGCGGCGGCGGCGGCGACUCGCACGGCUGGAACUACAUCGGCCUCGUGGAGAAGGAGCUCGUCUUCUCACCGGCCAACAAUGCCCUGACUGACCAGGUUUGUUUCCAGCGCGUGACUCUGAUGUGUGAAACCAGAUCGACAAGGCAAUCAACUCUCUUUUUCUGCUGGUUUGUAGGUGGCUGGAAUCCGGCGAUCAUUGCCUUCCGCGUUCCAACAACCGAAUGCCAUCCAUGAGAACAAUGGAUGGAACCCAGUUCUUACUGGUGGACGUAAAAGUGUACUGCAAGUUCUCCAACCGCAAGCAACUUUGGAGUCCAGCAAUCACUGGUUAGAUCUAGCCGCUCUCCUUCUAAAUCUUUCUUUGAGUCAACAGUGUGUAAACCAUUAUAGAUCUGGUACGAAUUGGUUGCAUUUUUUUCUUCUAAUAAUGGAGUAGUCAAUGUAUUAGCGACACCAAAUAACGGGUAUAUUCAUCUCAGUUUCGUCAGGAUAUGUGACCCAUUCAUCAUCCCGUUAGUGCAAAUUCUAGUAAAUCAAGUGAGUAUGUUCGUCAGUAUAUUGAGCAUAUUAUCACAGCCACUGCCCAAACUGAUUGUAGAACCAGAUGAGAAGCACCUUGUCUCACCCAAUCUACCUAAUUAUUUUUUUAUCCUUAAACACCUUAACAAAGUCUGAAGAUCAGAUUACUUACAGUUGCUGGUGUAAACAAUUUUUUAAGCUCUUUUUUUGUUUCUUUUCUCUUAGUACCCAGUUUAGAAUUUUUUGUAUAUAUAGCUAGAAAUUAGGUACGUACAAUUGUACAAUGUUUCUUGAAUCAAGUCAAAUUUAUGUUGCUAAUUGUUUUCUAUUGAAUGUCCAUGUAUGUAAAACUUGUAGAUUUGUUUGACUGAGGAGCACUUCCAGAAGUACAUGUGGUGUUAUCUGAAGCUUGCUGGAAGAUAUACCUCUUUCUUCUUCUUCUUCUUCUUCUUCUUUAGUUUUUUAGCAUUAACCCUUUUUGAAGAUGUAAAUAAAGUAGCUGCAUGGUCCAGUUUGCUUAGUCAGUGUACAUGUAUCAAGAUGCAAAUUUCUGUACAUGAUGUACCAAUGUAUCUAGUAUCUUGUUAACCAUGGUUCCACUUGACCAAAACUUGACAGAUCUCUGAAGAAGCAGUGACUUCACAUGUAUAUAACACACAGAGUGAAAAGUACUGUGAUACCCUUUGUUCAGUUCAAAAAAUAUGGAUACUUCCUUUUGAGGUAUAUCAGAGAAAUUCCAUUU